RNAcentral lists this non-coding RNA (108 nucleotides) under Sus scrofa (pig). Its description in RNAcentral is "Eukaryotic large subunit ribosomal RNA". It matches the Rfam family "Eukaryotic large subunit ribosomal RNA", at positions 2875 to 2984 of the family's 3401-position model. Lineage: Eukaryota; Metazoa; Chordata; Mammalia; Artiodactyla; Suidae. The record is from Rfam by way of RNAcentral.
CCCUCGGUGUUGGCUCUCUUGUCAUUGUGAAGCACAGUUUACCAAGUUUUGAUUGUUCACCUACUAAUAGGGAAGGAGAGCUGGGAUUACAUUGUCUCCAGACAGGUU